Zingiber officinale is the source of this 868-nucleotide long non-coding RNA. RefSeq lists it as uncharacterized. The transcript is spliced from 4 exons. Lineage: Eukaryota; Viridiplantae; Streptophyta; Magnoliopsida; Zingiberales; Zingiberaceae. The record is from RefSeq and is a predicted model, not a curated record.
CAGUGGGAAAAUUUGGGCCCUGUACUUCAAAAGACGGUAGAAUCUUUUCGUCUCCUCCCUCCUACGGAAAAUUAUGUUCCCCCAUUUAAGGACCCUUGGAGGUUUUGGUGACGACUACAAUGUUUUGGAAUGAGCACUGCAUCAUCUACUGGGGAUCUUUAACUAUGCUUUAUUUCUGAAGCAGCUACAUCAGCACACUGGGUUACAUUAGUUUGCUUUUUGUUCUAGCAUCUAAAGCAAAAGAAAGUACAUAAAGGAUAGAGGAUAAGGAAUAACCAUGACAAGAAACCAGGAAAAUAUAUAAUAACAGUAGUCCUUCAAAGACAAUGAAAAUAAAGUAACUAACUUAAAUCUGAAGGUGAUGCGUAAGUUCAAAAAUCUUAAUAAAAUAAAUUAUAAGUCGACAUAAAAGGAUAUAGCUUUAUAAGUAAUUUAGAAAUUAUAGACAGUUUUAGCAGCCAACAAUAAAAUAAAUUAACAACAAAACUAACCUAAAGACCUUGUAAAUAGAUUGCAAUUUUAGCAAAGAACACGAACUUGCUCUAGGUGCCGGUGCCAUAUAGAACGACCUCAUAAAUAGGUUGCAGCUUCAGCAAAGAACAUGAACUUGCUACCGUAGUCAUGUAGGAUCAGCAAGUACUCACGUAUCUUGACUCGAGGAGAUUCUUCAAAGUUUCUUGGAGAAUCUAUCAUUAGUGGCAAUACAGUUUAAUGACAGAAUCUGCUCCAGCUGUGAAUAGCCAUGGCUGCCUCGGAUGAAAUUUACAAUCUAAAACACCUGUUCAAUUAAUAAGUUAAUGUUAGGUCUAAGAUAGGCAGGAAUUGCAAUUUUUAUUUGAGUUAGAAAGCCAUAGUUUCUUAAUCUAGA